AGGGGAUGUGGUUUAGUGGUAUAAUACUCCCUUAGCAAUCAAUCCAAUUGGUUCUAAGUUUGGGAGUGGUCCAGGGUUCGAUUCCCUGCAUCUCCAU
Periconia digitata is the source of this 97-nucleotide non-coding RNA. The record is from the annotation of a GenBank genome assembly. Lineage: Eukaryota; Fungi; Ascomycota; Dothideomycetes; Pleosporales; Periconiaceae.